This 3317-nucleotide unclassified non-coding RNA is filed under the name Patiria miniata (bat star). Its description in RNAcentral is "fibrinogen C domain-containing protein 1-like, transcript variant X1". Lineage: Eukaryota; Metazoa; Echinodermata; Asteroidea; Valvatida; Asterinidae. The record is from RNAcentral.
AAAUGCUUCUCGUUUUUGUGAAGAAAAUAAGUAAACGGAUUGAAAGCACGCCCAGCUUGACUUUGAGAUGAUUGAAGACAGUUUUAAAGUUGAAGCGAUUUUGGACUAUGGCGUGGUUGUUAAGAGCACAAACAAAAUUUGAGGAAUAAGGAGGGAGAUAUUUUUUUCGGGAACAUUUAGUAAACCCCCGGUUUUCAAAAUCGAUUAAUCUAGUUGCGACGUCAGUGGGUGAGUCACGUGAAUGCUUGCGUGGUUUGCCGGCCGACGCAGCGCGCAUCACGGGAACAUCUCGCCGUCGCGCCCCGUAUACCCGACCACGCGUUCUCCGCUGCCUCGGUCCGGAGUAUCCAGCCAUUUUCACCAGGCUGUCCGACACUACCAGCACAUCAGCUUCAAGUCCCAGCCACUGAGUGAUUCGGACCGGUGAUCGUCUUAUAAUCCGUUAGUGUCAAAGACUAUUUUGACGGGAAAGAUGGAAGGGUUUUUCUCCGUGGUGAUCAUGUUUUUGUCUCUGGUGGGGUCAAGUCUGGGCAAGUUCACGAACGUGACUGACCGUUGCUGCCCAGACAAUUGUUGCAAUGGGAUCAUGUUCGGUGGUCUGACGGGAAAUGCUCCGGAGAUUUUACCCACGAACUGCAAUGACAUCAGAGAGCUGGGUGGGGGCAAAGAUGGUCUGUACACCAUCUACCCCUCCUAUGUCGAUAACUGUGACGGCAUCAGGGUGUACUGUGACCAACAAACAGACGGUGGCGGAUGGACGGUGAUCCAGCGCCGAAUGAACGGCUGGGUGGACUUUCAACGAGGGUGGGACGAGUACCGUGACGGCUUCGGUUUCCUGACGGGGGAGUUCUGGCUGGGGCUGGAAAUCAUCCACCACAUGAGCAUCCAGGCACCUACAGAGCUGGUCAUCUACAUGGAGGAUUGGCUCAACACCAUUGCACGGGUCCACUACUGGAACUUCUAUGUGUUAGACGAGUCGCUAGGCUACAUGCUGAGCCUCAAGAACUAUGACAUCGGAAGUGACGUCGGUGACGGGCUCUCCCUCCACAACGGCAUGAAGUUCAGCACGUUUGACAGGGACAACGACCGCAGCCUUGAGAACUGCGCCGAGACGCACACGGGGGCCUGGUGGUACAACAACUGUAUGCAGUCCAACCUGAACGGCCGGUACCUGCGGGGCAACAACCCAGCGCAGUCGGGUCAGGGGGUUGUCUGGACACCCUGGACCGGCACCACGUACUCGCUCAAGACUGUAGUCAUGAUGAUGCGCCACGUGGUUUAACAUGGCUUGGUUUGUGGUCCUUGCACUCUGAAAAGUCACGGUAUGAUUUGACCCGAAAUCCGGUUUCUAUUUGGCCUGCCACCUUUCCGUGUCAAAAUGCCACUUUUCCGGGUCAAAGUGCCACUUUUCCGGGUCAAAACGACAUUUUUCGGGUCAAAACGACACUUUUCCAGGUCAAACCGACACUUUUCCAGGUCCAAAUGACGGGUUUCAUUCCGGGUCAAAUGACCCGGAAAAUGAACCACUGGGUCAAAUGACCCGAAAAAUCAGUAGAAUUUUUUUUCUUUUAUCAUUUUGACCCGGAAAAGUGUCAGGCCCAAUAUGUCUCGAAUUCCCGGGUCGAAUCUGCCCGGGGACUUUUUUAGAGUGCAUGGCAACGGCUGUUGUGAGAAGCUAGUCAGGACUCAAACGGUCAGGACUAUCUUUCAAUUCAAUGUUAUUCAUUAUGUAUAAACAUUAAACUGUGGUACUGCGGCAGUUUUCUGUACAAAUCCAUCUGACAGAUUUGAGAGUCUUUGGUUGGAAAAGCCACUUUCUGUAGAUCAUAUACCGAUUGUAUUAUUAUUAUGUUAUAUGAAUUCAAAAACUUGUAUACGUCAUGAUAAUUUUUUUAGCAAUUAAUAAAACAAAAUUGACGUGACCCUGACCAAUUUCGUCAUUUAUUCCUCAAUCUGGGACUUCAUGUACAAAUAAUGAAGUAUGUUGCCACUAAAAAUACAUGUUAAUUAGAUUAAAAGCGAAAGAUGACUCACCAAACAUACCGGUAGUUUCUCCCAGCAAUCAUCAAUCCUGUUUUAUGCUUUUAUUUCUUCGAGAAAACAUCUGGUUGAAAACCCGUUGAAGACACCUGUUCAAGAAAGUAACAAUAUGAGAUUUGCAUUCGCAUAAGACAAAAGAGUACCAAAUAACCAAAAGUAGCGUCGAUUAAAAUAGCAGCUUAUUUUUUUUUGUGUCCUAAGACUUGUUGUCAAUACAAUAAUUAAAUGUCCAGCAGUCCUUUUUAAAAAAUUUAUAUAAGAAAAGAUUUUAUAAAGCGACAGUUAGACUGCAUAUCGUUAUUGUGUACACUGUAAAAACGUUGGGUAAAAUACUGUUGGGCAAUGUAAUUUACCCGAUAUUGGUAUGAUAUUACCUCAUAUUGGGUUGAAUUGGGUAAAAACUAUCAAAUUAUUGGGACCAGCACUGGUCGAAUUAUCAACCCAUUUUGCCCAACUUUUUUUUACAGUGUAGCGCUUAGAUAAUACGACUUAUUGAUGUCAUUAUUCAAAACAAAAUGGUAGAAAAAAUUGGUCGAAUUUUCUGUUCAAACAAAUUGACAAAAUAUUAUGGGAAAGGUCGGAUAGUUAGAAAUUUAGAUAUUGAAUUUGUAAAACCAAGUCAAUUUUUGAAUUCUCCGCAAAAACAGAGUGUUAAAUUGGUUGUUUUGUGCUAUGCCCAAUGAAGAUCAUGGGUAUAGAGAUUUUAUGUGAGAGGCCUGAAGCGGCCUGGAAAAUAGAAAGAGGCAGAUAUAAUUCUUUAGCCACAUCACAUUAAAUUUUGUAUUGUUUUCGAUAUAUUUUGUUUAAGUUAUUUUUAAUUUGUGUUAUAGUCUCUGUGUAACUAAGAAAGGCCCAGAACGUGUUUAUGAGCCUCAAUGUGUAAUGUGAUUUUGAUUUGAAAUACAAUCAUUUAACGCUUAACAUUUUCCUAGAAUAUGAGGUUUUAUAACUAUUAUUUUUUUAAAUAUAUUUUAUUAUCACUUACUUCGAACAACAAGACCUAUUCACCGGUAUUCGCCCCGUGACUUUUUUUUAUUCAACUCAUACAACGCGGCAACAGAGGGCGCUAUUUAGAUGAUUGACUGAUCAUGACAAACGUUAAAUCCGUGAUGCAUCAUAAAAGAGGCAUGAUUGAUAAAGGUCAAAGUGCAAAUUGGUUGCCAUCGAGACACAUUUUUUUGAGAGGGGGUAAAAGUCAGUGAAUGAAGUUUUUACUAUAUUAUUCGAAAGAUUUUUCGAACAAUGGUUUUCAAAUAAAUUACGUCAUUGGGAAAAUA